GACGUGACUUCAGAGUUUGAUCCUGGCGUCAGGACGAACGGCUGGCGGCGUGCUUAACACAUGCAAGUCGAGCGGGGAUUGAAUUUGGAAGGUUUCGGCCGGAAGGAUUCAAUUCUAGCGGCGGACGGGUGAGUAACGCGUGAGCAAUCUGUCCCACACAGGGGGAUAACAACUGGAAACAGUUGCUAAUACCGCAUAAGACCACGGUGUCGCAUGGCAUUGAGGUAAAAGAUUUAUCGGUGUGGGGUGAGCUCGCGUCUGAUUAGCUAGUUGGUGAGGUAACGGCCCACCAAGGCGACGAUCAGUAGCCGACCUGAGAGGGUGAUCGGCCACAUUGGAACUGAGACACGGUCCAG
RNAcentral lists this ribosomal RNA (356 nucleotides) under uncultured bacterium. Its description in RNAcentral is "bacterial SSU rRNA". It matches the Rfam family "Bacterial small subunit ribosomal RNA", at positions 1 to 334 of the family's 1533-position model. The record is from RNAcentral.